GUGUAAAUCUGUCUUUUAGUAACCUGGUAACAUAUCUGGUGACCUGUCAAUAUAAUGUCAGUUCAUUCAUGUAUUCGCGACACAUGAUUACGUUCGAUUUCAUUGCAAUUCUUGCACUCCUGCACAAGUUAUUUCAUAAUUAUCAUUGUAACUUGUCGCAAUAUUGUAAAAAUUGAUAAACAAUUUUCAAUAAAAACACGAUAACCUGAGUCUUCAUGAAAGAAGAAUACCACCUACUGUAAUUUAGACUUGCAGUCGAUACGUUUACGAAUUACGAUAAAACGAACCCAAAAAUACGAGUCACGAAUGAAAUCAGAUAUUGGGCUGGUAAAAAAACAAGAUGGGGAAUAACUGAAUACCUAAUUCAGAAUUUGUUUAAAUUAUUGUACAUGAGUGUACGGGAUAUAUGUGUGGCUAACCAUGAUAUGAUUUGACUCGAAGGACCAGCUCUCCCAACUGAAAUGAUCAAUCUCGCGAGCAACACCAAAAUUGUCUAUAAUAGGUAGAUAACUGUUCACCUUAAUUAGUUGCAACAGUUGACCAAUUUUUCAUAAAAAAAUGAGACACCAAGAAGUCUUUAAUGUUAUGUUUAAUAACUCUCAUUUGGAACUACUAAUUAUUUACAAAGUGUACAAGGAAUUUGGUUGAAGGUGAUAGGUGGAGGAGCAUAGCCACUAUGCUCCUCUGUCCUGAGGAUUUUAGUGGUAAUAAUGAACAAAAUGUAACUUCACAAAAUUCAGAGGCUAAAAUAAUAGGUAUGUUGAAAAUAAUUUGACAGUUUAUUUAAACUUACUGUUACAGGAGUAGUUAGAAACAUUGGGAACACAUAGACCAAAUAACCAAAAAGCAAAAAUUUUUCUGUUAACUUUCUUAAAUCUGAAUCCCAUGGAUUUUAAUACUCGAUGUAAAGUAUUUAAACUUGCUGUAUAUUCCAGAUGUUCUUUCGCAAAAAUAAAUAAAUCCCGAAUAGUAAAAAACUAUUUUUUUUUUUUGUUUUUGUCAAAUAUACAGUAGGUUAGAUCUUCGUUAAAUUCCAAAUUUGAAUACCACUGCGAUUUUUGUUUUGGUUUCCACUUUGCUUCUUGUAAAGGUUCUCCAGAUUGGGGUUGGGUUAUAAUUUUGUGGGCUUGACAUCGGGAACACUAUGGAAAGGAUAGGAAUAAAUGAGUUUACAAGGAAAGUUUCUGCAGUGUUUGAAUUUAAUGAGGGACAUUUAGUUGUAUUGUGUAGGAUAUAAAG
Long non-coding RNA from Zophobas morio, 1239 nucleotides. RefSeq lists it as uncharacterized. The transcript is spliced from 3 exons. The record is from RefSeq and is a predicted model, not a curated record. Lineage: Eukaryota; Metazoa; Arthropoda; Insecta; Coleoptera; Tenebrionidae.